AGUUUUUCUUAUAUGAACAUACCUAGGCACUUUAUGACUUUUCAUAGGUUUAUCAGAGCUCCCAGCAUCACUCCUCUUGUACUUUGGGGCCAUUAUUAUCCACUAAAUAUCAUUAUUUAGUGGAUAAUAAUGGCUCUGCUCUGACAUGGACGUGACUUGUUACAGGUGAGAACUUCUGCCAAAGAAUGAUGUGGGAGUGAAUGUUUGGCACAAAACAAUGUAACGGCUCACAUGAAUGUGUCUCAGAGCGAGAAUGAGCAGAGUGGAUGAAAUGGAGCAGAUUUAAUAUGUAAUUAAAAAGAAUUAUUUUACUUAUUUUUCUGCCUUUAUUUUUUUCACUGUCAAUUGCAUAUACUUUAAUUUGCAUGUAUUGAGUCUUUGCAAAACUAGGUUCUACUGUUCUUUGCAUAUCUUUCAUAGAAGGUCCUAACUCCAAAGCCAGCAGUGGUCCUUGUGAGUCUAAGGGAUACUUUACAGGCAGUGAACCCUGGGCAUGUCCUGAAUUCAGAGGCUUACUAGAAUCUAACCAUGUCACUCCCCUUAAAAAAAUACCACAGUAUCUGUUGGUGAUGGAAUACUAUUGUGCUCAAAGGAAUAAUAAAGUGGAGGAAUUCCAUGGGAACUGGAACAACCUCCAGGAAGUGAUGCAGAGUGAGAGGAGCAGAACCAGGGAAAUCAUUAUACACAGAGACUGAUACACUGUGGCACAAUCGAAUGUAAUGGACUUCUCCAUUAAUGGCAAUGCAGUGAACUUGAAGAACUUGGAGGAAUCUAUAAGAAAAAACACUAUCCACAUUCAGAGGAAAAACUGUGGGAGUAAAAACACCGAAGAAAAACCUCUGCUUGAUUACAUGGGUUGAGGGGGAUAUGAUUGGGGUUAUAGACCCUAAAGGAACAUCCUAGUGCAAACAUCACCAGCAUGGAAAUAGGUUCUGAUCAAGGACACAUGUAAUACCCAGUGGAAUUGCGUGUCGGCUAUGGGAAGGGUGGGGGGAGGGGAAGGAGGAAUAGAAUAUGGUCUUUGUAACCAAGGAAUAAUAUUUGAAAUUGACCAAAUUAAAAAAAAAUAAAAAAAAUAAAGAAAUGCCA
Molecule: long non-coding RNA, 1089 nt
Filed under: Monodelphis domestica (gray short-tailed opossum)
Lineage: Eukaryota; Metazoa; Chordata; Mammalia; Didelphimorphia; Didelphidae
Description: lncRNA (ENSMODG00000031063.2)
Source: RNAcentral